GAGAAAGCAAAGGGAGGUUGCGGGCCCAAGGAGACCCCUUAAAAGAUUUGUGCACAAAGUCCGGACGAAGACGCAGGACGCGUUCAGCCAGGAGACUGGGUGUUAAUCAAGAGUUGGAAGGAAAAUCCUUUAACCCCAAGGUGGGAAGGCCCAUAUCUUACCCUGCUCACCACAGACACUGCUGUGAGAACUGCCGAAAAAGGGUGGACUCACGCCAGUCGAGUAAAAGGACCAGUGAACCCUUCCGACUUUCCUGAGCAUUCACAGAACUGUCAGUGGAGAAUAAAAGGACCCCCAGACGGCCUAAGACUGACAUUCACCAAAACACCAGAAAUGGGCCGUCAUCCCGAUGACUGAGCAAUGGGAAAGGCUAGGACCAGCGGACCAAAGGAGGGUCCAACAGAAGCUGUCAUUAACUUUGCAGCCGUAUCUACUAAGUUUAGCACGCUUCAACUCAGCAGCUCGAGAAGCCUUAACGAAUCCUCCAGACAAUUGGGUCUGGUGGAUUGAAACUUAUGGACCCCAAGAGGAACCCUCGUUCCGACCUCUUAAACGCAGUCCCUGCUGUAGCUGUGGAAAAGAACUUUGUGAGGCAUGGGUAGCCUUUAAAUGCGGUGGUUGUAAUAAGGUUUAUUGGAAAGAACAAAGGUUAAUAUAUCACUUGUGGUGCGGGAGGUGUGCAAGCAAGGACAUUAGGAGGGGAGAUUGGGCUCUAGCAUUAGAAAGAGAGAACGGAAUACCUUAUACUCAAUUUCGGAGUGUGUAUGAGACCCCAGAACAGCUCUUGUUAGCAUGGGCGAGGUGGCAAAUUAAAUGUUGGUUGAAAAAGUGCCGACAGAUCGCCAAUUCCCGUAUUCUAACUGCAAGGUGCCGACAUACGGUACCACACUUAAGGACCUCAAUAGUUGGACCCCUAGGAAAAGACACAGACCCAGACACAGCUUUAAAUAAUUGGAUUGCUAAAUUUGAACGUCUACAUAUCAAGAAAAGCCGGGCCAAUCCGUCCCUGUCAUAAACUUUGUAAAAGGUUGUGGUGAGUCCACUGCCAGAGAGGGAGGGCUCCCAGAAAAUAUUUACCAACCUCGUUGGGAGGGAUAACUAGGGAAAGGACUCUAGAGUGUCCUAACCAGUCUCUUGGUCCUUACAAGGGUAAAACUCGCAAGCAAAAUAACAGCUACAGGUGCGACUCCCUGUUAACCCUCUUAAGAGGCGAAGGAGGUGCAAACCCCAUCCCUCAGAAGAUCCUUGCCGCCGAGAAGAUAACAGCCCUCGUAACUAGUCGCAAACUAGUUGACGAGCGAGGCGGAGGGAUACUUAGCGGAAGGAUGGAAUUUCACAAAAUGGGAGCACCAAUAGAGCUUACAGGCAGGGAUCAAAAGGGCCAAGGGACUCAAGUUGAAGAAAGGGUGAAACUGGACAGGCUGAUUAUUCAUACCCAUACUGGCAGUGGAUGUUACUCAACUUUAAUGCGAAUAUUGAUGACAUGGUUAUUGAUUAGGGAAACAUUAGGGGACAGCGUAAGCCAUGAACCCUUCAAAUGGUCACUUAUUAGGUGGGAAGAUCAACGAGUCAUAGCAACAACUACAACUUCAGGAGUCCCCUCCUUUAGGUGUCAGCUAUGUGACAUUAUCCAGGCUAAACCCUGUUUAAACAGGAUAGGGUUUUAUAUGUGCCCAGCGUCGAAUCCAGGGAAACCAUACUGCAACUAUCCUGGACACUUUUAUUGUGGAUAUUGGGGAUGUGAAACUAUAGCUCAUGGCUUUACCCCAGGAGGAGGGAGGGACUCAUAUAUAAGAGUCGGAUGGUACCCAUGGGGCUGUACCCCUCCCCGAUUUGAUUUUGCCGGUGGAGUGACAACGGGGGGGAACUGCCAGUCCAUUCAGAUAAACGUGACCAAUGACAAAAUUAACGAUCCAGUUUGGGUCACAGGAAAAACCUGGGGGGCAAGAUUAUGGGAACCAGGAAAGGAUCGAGGGGGGCAUUUUCUAAUAAGAAAAGAGCCAGUCCCUCAUGACCCGGAACCUGUGGGGCCGAACCCCGUACUUACUGAAGAAGGGAGAAAGAGAGAAAGGGGCAAUUAUUCAUUAGUAGAAAAUCUCACAAGGAAGCCGACUCAGUCGGGAGAUUGGCCACUAACAGCUCCACCUGCUCGGGAGUAUAGUAUGCUGUGGAAAGUGAUGCAAGCUACAUUCAGAGUUCUCAAUACUACGAACCCAAAUUUAACCAAUGAAUGCUGGUUGUGCUAUACUGUUAACCCGCCUUUUUAUGAAGCUUUAGGAACUACAGCAAAACCUAGGAGGAUUAACGGAACCAAUCCACGGGAGUGCCUUUGGAAGAGAGGCCAGGACAGAACCCCAGGGAUAUCAAUAGUUCAGGUAACAGGGAAAGGGAGGUGCGUAGGAAAAAUUCCAUCAGACAAAAAACAUCUGUGUGAAAUAGAUAUGACAACCGUCAAGUCUGAAAAAUCGGCUAAGUGGCUUCUCCCUGCAGUAAAUGCCAAAUGGGUAUGCAAUACACUGGGAGUCACUCCAUGUAUAUCUAUACCUCAUUUCAAUGAGACAUUCGAAUAUUGCAUACAGGUUGUGAUAGUUCCCCGAAUUAUAUACCAUCCAAAGGAAUAUGUAUACGAACAUCAGAUCACUCCUGAACAUCAUUUAGUGAAACGAGAACCCUUUACGGCCACAGCUCUUACAGUAGCCGUCCUAUUGGGCUUAGGAGGAGCAGGAGUAGGAACAGGGGCAACUGCCCUAAUAAAUCAGCAGAGGGGUAUGAAAGACUUGAGAGCCUCAGUAGAUGAAGAUCUAAGUAGAAUCGAAAAAGCAAUAGAUGGACUAGUCAAAUCAGUAAGAUCUUUAUCGGAAGUAGUACUCCAGAACAGACGGGGAUUGGAUAUACUGUUUCUACAACAAGGAGGGUUGUGCGUAGCAUUACGAGAGGAAUGUUGCACAUAUGCAGACCACACUGGAAUAGUGAUAGAUACCAUGGCCGAGCUCAGAAAACAAUUGGAAAAGCGAAAAAGGGAAAGGGAAGCACAACAAAACUGGUACGAAUCAUGGUUCAACCACUCCCCUUGGCUCACCACACUCCUGUCCACUAUAGCGGGACCUCUCAUAUUGUUUAUCCUAACAAUCACUUUCGGGCCUUGCAUAUUUAAUAAAUUGAUUAAUGUGGUAAAGGGAAGAUUGGAAGCCGCCCACCUCAUGCUCAUUAAGGCGAGGUAUGAACCUCUAAGCGAUGGGAACACAGAGGACUACUUAGAGCUCAGCAGAAAGGAGCUUGCCAGAUUCAGUGAACAAAAAGAGUGACAUAGAAAAAAAGGGGGGUUUGUGAUGGGAAUAUGACCUUCUUGUUCACUGAAAACAGGAGAAAGCAUAAGGUUGUGAUGGGAAUGUGACCUUCUUGUUCACUAAAAACAGGAGGAAACAUAAUGUAAAUAAGUAACCGCCAACUGGCAUGCGAUAACAUAUGAGACUAAACAUUGCUGAGCUAACCAAAAUAUAAGUUGUUCCCAGUCCCAGAUUCCCAGAGGGGGGGCGCCGAGGAAAAGUACCAGAGGCCCUAUUCGACGACCACCAGGAGGCAGAAGGAGACCCUCUAACAACCGGGUGGACCUGCGCGGAGAAGCACCGGAAAUGCGACGGGGCUAGGAGCGCGGGAGGGUACAAAAAGGGGAACGGAACAGUUUUCGGCGCGGCAGUUGGUGGAGCAAGGACUCCCCCGCCGCCCAGCGCUGCGAUUUGCUUUCUCUUUUCUGUAUUAAUAAAUUGGCUAUAUAAUUGA
Passer domesticus (house sparrow) is the source of this 3780-nucleotide long non-coding RNA. RefSeq lists it as uncharacterized. The transcript is spliced from 2 exons. The record is from RefSeq and is a predicted model, not a curated record. Lineage: Eukaryota; Metazoa; Chordata; Aves; Passeriformes; Passeridae.